UACGGAAGGCAGCAGUGGGGAAUAUUGCACAAUGGGCGCAAGCCUGAUGCAGCCAUGCCGCGUGUAUGAAGAAGGCCUUCGGGUUGUAAAGUACUUUCAGUCGUGAGGAAGGUGUUAAGGUUAAUAACCUUAGCAAUUGACGUUAGCGACAGAAGAAGCACCGGCUAACUCCGUGCCAGCAGCCGCGGUAAUACGGAGGGUGCGAGCGUUAAUCGGAAUUACUGGGCGUAAAGGGCACGCAGGCGGUUAAUUAAGUUGGAUGUGAAAUCCCCGGGCUUAACCUGGGAAUGGCAUUCAAGACUGGUUAGCUAGAGUCUUGUAGAGGGGGUAGAAAUUCCAUGUGUAGCGGUGAAAUGCGUAGAGAUGUGGAGGAAUACCGGUGGCGAAAGGCGGCCCCUGGGACAAAGACUGACGCUCAUGUGCGAAAGCGUGGGGAGCAAAACAGGGAUUAGAUACC
RNAcentral lists this ribosomal RNA (457 nucleotides) under uncultured bacterium. RNAcentral's name for it is "bacterial SSU rRNA". It matches the Rfam family "Bacterial small subunit ribosomal RNA", at positions 340 to 786 of the family's 1533-position model. The record is from RNAcentral.